GUGAACUAAAAUUGCGUAGGAUGAGUUCAGAAUUUUUAUCGUCUAUCUGACGGUUCCUAUCAGUGUUGUUGUGUUGAUUGUGUUUAUAUGUGAAGUUUAGGUCUAAAAUUAUGAGUUUAUUUGAAAUGAUUUUGUGCACGAUUAUGAGGUGGACUAGUACAUAUAUGUGAUUGUUGGGGACUUGUUCUCAAAUGCUAUGAAUUAAGAACAAGGCAACACAAGAAAUGGUAAACGUUAAAGUCCUUCGUCCUUCGAAGCAUUAUUUCCCUUAGGACAUAAUGAUUUUCGGACGAAGGUUAUGAAGGACAUACCUUCAUAAAUUCAACAUAUAAUAAUGAAGAAGGAAUCAUAUGAGACACAAAAGAUAGCAUAAACCAUUAUGUAUUAUCAUCAACUCAUUUCUGUAUUAUUAUUAUAGAAAAGUAGAAAUAAUAUCAAAUUACAAAUGUACCUUCGGCUUGAAAGAAGGCGAAAGUACAAGCGUGACGCAAAAGCAAAUACCAAGUCAGCGUGAGCAGUACGGGGGUACUGUUCACCUAUUUAUAGGCACGGGACACAGCCCAUAUAAAAUUACAUCCAUGCCCUUUACAUUUGGUAGUAAUUCUAUAGUAAUCCACCGAGGUCUGAAUAGCCUUUUCAUCUUUAAGUCGGUUUCCUUUUGUGCUACCACGCCGAAGCUUUCCUGCUCACAUCUUCGGCGCUGUAUCAACCUUCGUAUUAUUUGGGCUUCUCCUACUGUGAUAUCGAUUCGAGUCCGAAGAUACCUGUUCACACAUUAUACUCCAGAAACACUGUUAAAUCUUGUUUUUGAGGACCUUCGGAAGCCGAAGGCCCCCAACAGUAGCCCUCGCAAUAUUAAUUUGUUAGAAUAAUAAAUUUAGAUUGUGACAUGGACGAAGGCCUUAAGCCGAAGGUCCGAAAAAACACCUUCCCUUUGCUAGAAUAGCAACAUUCACUGACAAGCGAAGUCUUCCAAUUUUCAACGCACUGGGCGUAUAAAUAAGAGCAUACCGCGAGCUCAUUUGGUACGCUCUCUUGCCAUCUGCUCUUGCUCACUCAAUUUUUAGCUCUUGCGCACCAAGACUUGCUUAGCUUUUUAAGUUUUUAAGCUUCGGCGUUGAAAACAGUUUUUUACUGUUUCCGAAGAUGUCUGAAGAUAAGAAGGCUGCUGCCGAGAUGAAGCUGAGUCUCUCUGAAGAGAAAAACCUGGGGUUUCUUAUAGCAAUGUCGAAGACCAAUACAGAAAAAAUCACCAAAGAGAUUUUAGAAGGUUUGUCUGAAGAUACUGAUGACAGCGACAGUUAUGAUGUGGAUAGUGGUGGUGAAGACUCCGAAGAUCGCCCUUGGCGACCAAGCCAUGCGGUUUUCGGCAAAUCAAGUAUUAAAGAAAAUCAUCUUGUCAACAUGAGGGGAAGAUAUUUCCGGGACUUGUCCGUUGUGAGGGCCGACGAAGGAGAAAAGACUUGUCCGAACCCUGAAGAAAAUGAAGUCGUAGUGUACCGAAGCUUUUUGAAAGCUGGACUACGAUUUCCCUUGAGCAACUUUGUCGUAGAGGUGCUGAAAAUAUUUGAAGUCUAUCUUCACCAACUUACCCCCGAAGCAAUCAUAAGGCUGAAUAUCUUCGUGUGGGCCGUGAGAAGCCAAGGUCUGGAACCUGAUGCGAAAAGUUUCUGCAACAUACACGAAUUAUCAUACGAGACAAAGCCCUGGGGUAAGGAACAGUAUCACAAUAAUUUUGGCUGCUACAGUUUCGUUUCUCGGUCUGGGUCAAGCUGUCCCGUGCCAACCUUUCGGAAGAGAUGGCCCGGCGACUGGAUGACAGAAUGGUUUUAUGUAAAGAAUGACCUAAAAACACGGGAAGAUAUUAAAGGUAUAAUUAUGCGCCCUAUUUGGCAAAGCUUCGGCCUGCGGAGGCCGAAGGUUGAAAUGAAUGAAGCUGCCGAAGAAUGCCAGAGAGCCUUCGGAGUUAUUUGUUCUUUUAUUGGAACGAGAGAUUUGGUCCAAGAGCAUAUUGCCUUCAGAGUAUGGCCGCUCACAGAAAAAUGGGAAAUGCCACAAGAGACUAUAAAGGAGGCUGACGAAGGUGGACUUAUCAGGCUGAAGUAUACUUUCAAAUUCGGAGACAAAUUCGUAGAGCCAGAUGAUGACUGGCUAAAAAGCAUUGAAAAUGUAAGUGAUGAACUACUUGGGGUUUAUUCAAAGGCCGAAGAAACUGCAUUGUCAGCAGCCUUCGGAGGCCGAAAAAAGAAAAGACUGAACCGAGUGUUUGACGCAAUUGGGUUUGUCUACCCUGACUAUCGUUAUCCCAUUCGAGGGCAGAAAAGAAAAGGCACGACUCCUGCGACAGAAGAAGCUGCCGCUGCUCCUAGUGAGCCAGCACUGAAAAGAAAAAGGAUAAAGAUCCUCACACAUCGGCCACGCUAUAUUGAACUAGCCUCGGUGCCUGAGUUCACCGGAGAGACCUCUUCGGCCACCGAGGCUGAAGAGCCAACCUUGCUGCCAGAAGUCACAGAAAUGGCCGAAGCGCCAACAACAACAGAAUUGGAGGAACCAAAAAUUUUAUUACCAGAAACCAAAGAGAUGGCCGAAGCGCCAUCGACAGAAAAAAUGGAAGAAUCAAAAGGAUCGACUGAGGGAACGAAAGUGUUGGAAAUUUUGAGUCCUUCAGCAAGUGUUGAGACAAUAAAAAACCAAAAGGGUCCAGCGGUGACUCCGAAAAGAAAAAGAAUGGUCAAUGUGCUAGAUGUUCUGGAGACAAUUAAGUCCUCAAGCACAACUCCGAAAAAGACUGUUGAAACUUCCGAAGCGGAAACUGAAAUUUUUGAUACUAAAGCUCCAAAGCAACAAACUGAGGCUGAAGCUGGGCCUUCAGAGCCCACGAAGGUAAAAUCCUUGGAAACCGAGGAAGAAAAAAUGAUGGAGCCAAUUCUUGUUGAAGAAAUCAGUGCUGUUGCCCCCGAAGCAUCCCCUAAAGUCCUUGAUUAUAUUGUUCGACAUGCUUCGGGGAAAAAAUUGUCUGAAAAAGAAAAGCAAGAGGCCCAGUUUUACGCCCAAAAACUGAAAUAUCCAAAGGGGGCGUUGGUAUUCAACGGCAGCGGAGAAGAAGACUUCUUGUAUUGUCUCCCUGACAGCAAGGAGAUUUCUGUCUGUCGGGAGAUGAGCAAGAGCUUCAGAUUCCCAACACUAGAAGACGGGCUCUCGGUGUUGUCGAAAAACGAGCUGGCCGACAGCUUGGCGUACAAUAGCUUAAAGGUGCAAAAAAUGAAGUCUUUGUAUUUUUUCUUGAGACCAAAAUUUUUCGUUUGCUUAAAUUUAUUGACGCACACACAUUUUUCUUUGCAGGGCCUUAUACUUAGCAAUGCCCUCAGGGCCCAAAAAGAUGCCGAAGACGAAGGGUGUGUUAUGGCCCUGAGCAACCUUCGUUCCGAAGUAAUUGAACUAAGGAACGAAGGUCUCGAAAAAGAUAAAAUAUUACAUUCAUUGAUAAAUAGAAUAAAAGAAGACGAAGCUACUUUUAAAGGUCAAGCUGAGGCUCAGAAGCGUGAAAUUGAAGAUCUUCGAAAACAACUAGCCAGAGCUAAAGAGGAACGCAUACUUGAAGAAACGAGGCGAGAACUUAGUAACCAAUGGGCAAAUCAUUUAGAAGGAACUGUUGAAGAGCUUCGUUCGUCCAAGAAAAGAUGCUAUGUCAAAUCUAUGGAGUGUGUUAAGAAAAUGAAAGCUAGCUUCGCCAGCGUUGGCGCAUUCUCGAGCGAAGAAAACUUUACAAGAGGCAACCCCGAAGGUCCCAUCGAAUGGAUUAAUCACGAAGCUGAGGCCUUUGAGGAAAUUUUAAAUAGCCGCGGAGACAUAUGCGCUUUUUCGGGUGCCAGGGGGGAUUGCCACCAUUUUGGAGAAAAAAGGCUGCGAGCAUGUAAAGAUUUUAGCGCAAUCCGAAGCUACCUUGUCCUUCGAAGAUGCAAAAGAUCCUUCAGCCGAAGCUAGCAUGGUUGGUGGAAAAUUUUUCACCGAUGUCUGGGACAAUGGUGGUCGAGAAAUGGCCCGAGAAAUUAUCCAAAAAAGCGAAAAGGGCAUCCAUGAUGCUAGAAAAGUAGCAGAGGCUGCUGAGAAAAGCGCAGAGCCCGAAGGGCAAAUAGGUAUUAACUAAUGGUUUUUAUUGUGUUGUAAUUUUUGAUUUUAAACUUCGUUCGCAAUUUGUAAUAGCAAUGUAGCUGUAUCCUGUCCUCCCUCAGAUCCUACUAAGCGUCUCUGGGCCCUCCCCCGAAAGAUGACGAUGAAAUUAAAAAGAUGGCUGAAGCUAUCAUGGAUCAAGUUGUUAAUCAACUCCUGAAUGAAGCUGCGGAAGUAGUACUUAGGGAAGACUAGGUGCUAUUGUAAAAACAUCUGAAAUAUAAUAUGUAUAAUAUCUUAUAAUCCUGAAUGUAAUAUACUUGUCCUUUUUUUAUGGUUCAAUUCUUUACGAUGCAUGAAAUUUUACAUACGUACCGUUUUUGAGUCUUUGACGAAAAAACACCUUCCCUUCUUUUCAUGCUUCGUGAAGAAGAAUUUUCAUUUAUCACAAUAAUAUCCGUAGUGUUCUGAUGAAGAAUAUCCAAGCUUCGUGAAGAUAUUUUCCGAAGCUACACUUCCGAAGAUCAAUAGUGUAUCUCCUUGCGACUUAGCAUGAUUUUCCCCUUUUUCAAAACAUUCUUCUGAAGAUCGAUAUUGUGUCCCCUUCUUGUGCCAUAUGCAGCAUGAUGUAUGAUGCUUAUGCCAUGCGAAAUGAUGUGAUGAUGUUAUGCUAUGUAAAAUGGUAUUUAUUCCGAAGAUACACACACAUCCCUGUAAUAAAACACAUAAUCUUUUUAAAUCAGCGUUGACUUUUCGCUGUAAGCCUCCCUUAGGAGCUUCUUCGCCUUUUACUUCAGCGGAAUCAGCGUUUAUUUUUCGCUGUAAGCCUCCCUUAGGAGCUUCUUCGCCUUUUACUUUCAGCGGUAUUCGCGUUGACUUUUCGUGCUUCGCCUUUUACUUAGGCGGUAUCAGCGUUUAUUUUUCGCUAUAAGCUCUGCAUUCCCUUUGGAACGACUUUGGAGCAGAAAACUUACACUGCGCUCCCUUUGGAACGGCUUUUUGUAACUUCAGCAAACUUACUCUGCGUUCCUUAGAACGACUUUUUGUUGCUUCGAAGAAUUUUUGAUAAUUCGAAGGUCCUCCUUGUUAUCGCAAAUCUUUAAGCUUCAACAACUUAAGCCUGUGGAGAAAAUAUAUUUUCCUUGUGACAAACAACGAAACUAUUACAUGAAAUUUAAAAAAUGUCCUUUAUUACACAGAAAAUAAAACUGAAUGGAAAAGACUACUAUCAAGGUAGGAUAUUUGUCAAUAGAUGUGCUUCGACUCUAGCACAGUGCUAUUGACUGUGCGAGCUUCGGACUGUUCUCUGAAGUCCCUUUGGUGUUGAGCAUAUUGGCCCCCUUCUGGCUGCUGGCCUUGUUGCAGCGGUGGUGGAGGCGGAGGCUGUUGCCAGGAAGCUUGAGGUUGACUCGCCGAAGCAACAGAAACUGCAGGGUGGUUGCCUACAUAUUCUGGGAUGUAAGGUGAAUGAUACGAAGCAGUGUGCAUGAUUUGCUUCGGCUGAGCCUGUUGUGCUGCAACUUCGGCUAUCUCCUUUUGCUUCUGGAUGGUAACAUGGCACAUCCUGGUGGUAUGGCCCUUGUUUUUACCACAGAACAAGCAAAAUAUUCUCCUUGGUUGAUCUCCAAACCUUCCGCCGAAGCCCCUGGCGCCUCUGCCUCUUGGAGCUGGCGGCCGGAAGGAGCUUUGUUGUUGCCCCGAAGCCUGUGAGGAGCACUGUGGCCUUUGCUGCUGACUUCCCUUAUCAUCAUUUUGAGUAGAGUUGUGAAUUGACCUAACAUGCCUCGGAUAAAAUCUUCCUCCGAAACCCCUGGUCAUUUCAGAAAACCUGAAAGCCUCCUCCCUUCUUUGACGAAAAUCAUUGUCGGCACGAAUAUACUCGUCCAUCUUCUGGAGCAGCUUCUCCAAAGUUUGAGGAGGCUUCCUAGCAAAGUACUGAGCUGAAGGUCCUGGCCGAAGUCCCUUGAUCAUGGCCUCAAUAACAAUUUCAUUGGGCACUGUUGGUGCCUGUGCCCUCAAACGCAAGAACCUCCGGACAUACGCCUGAAGGUAUUCUUCGUGAUCCUGGGUGCACUGGAAUAGAGCUUGAGCAGUGACCGGCUUCGUCUGAAACCCUUGGAAGCUGGUUAACAACAUGUCCUUCAGCUUUUGCCAUGAAGUGAUCGUUCCUGGCCGAAGGGAGGAAUACCAGGUUUGAGCAACACUCCUGACAGCCAUAACAAAAGAUUUUGCCAUGACUGCAGUAUUGCCACCAUACGAAGAUACUGUUGCUUCGUAGCUCAUCAAAAACUGCUUCGGGUCUGAAUGGCCGUCGAAUAUGGGAAGCUGAGGCGGCUUGUAGGACGGAGGCCAAGGUGUAGCCUGCAGCUCAGCGGACAGAGGAGAAGCAUCAUCAAAAGCAAAAUUUCCAUGGUGAAAAUUCUCAUACCAGUCAUCUUCGUUGAGGAAACCCUCCUGAUGAAGGUCUUUAUUCUGAGGCCUUCGGUUCUGCUCAUCCUGAGUAAGAUGACAAACUUCUUCAGAGGCUUCGUCUAUCUGCCUUUGCAGUUCAGCUAGUCUGGCCAUCUUUUCCUUCUUCCUCUGCACCUGUUGAUGAAGCAUCUCCAUGUCUUUUAUUUCUUGGUCUAGCUCAUCCUCUGGCGGUGUCGGGCUGACAGCCUUCCUCUUCUAGCUUCGGGCCUCCCGAAGGGAGAGAGUCUCCUGAUUGGGGUCUAGCGGUUGCAGAGCUGCAGCCCCAGUUGCUGAAGCUUUCUUCGGCGCCAUAGCGAAGGUUUAUGAUCGCCGAAGGUGUUCAAAACUCAAAGAGUGGAAGUGAGUUCACCGGAGGUGGGCGCCAAUGUUGGGGACUUGUUCUCAAAUGCUAUGAAUUAAGAACAAGGCAACACAAGAAAUGGUAAACGUUAAAGUCCUUCGUCCUUCGAAGCAUUAUUUCCCUUAGGACAUAAUGAUUUUCGGACGAAGGUUAUGAAGGACAUACCUUCAUAAAUUCAACAUAUAAUAAUGAAG
This 7116-nucleotide long non-coding RNA is filed under the name Zea mays. RNAcentral describes it as "long non-coding RNA (ZMAY_LNC005404)". The record is from RNAcentral. Lineage: Eukaryota; Viridiplantae; Streptophyta; Magnoliopsida; Poales; Poaceae.